RNAcentral lists this unclassified non-coding RNA (691 nucleotides) under Zea mays. RNAcentral's name for it is "misc RNA Zm00001eb022100". Lineage: Eukaryota; Viridiplantae; Streptophyta; Magnoliopsida; Poales; Poaceae. The record is from RNAcentral.
CUAAGCACCACUCAUUUGAUAAAAUCAUCUGCAACUUGCACUUGAUAGACCUGAAUGAAUGUCUGGUUCCUAACAAUGACGAACUGGAGCUUAGAUCUGAAGGUGGCAAGCAUAUGCGAGUGUACAGGAAAGAAUGGAACUAUUUCUUAUGUGAUCUGACGAUAUCUCAUGAUGUAAAUUAAGAUAUCUCGUGGUGAUAGCAAAGAAAUAGGCUGCGUCAGAAAAAUAAAAGAGAGAGAAGUUCAGAAAGACAAGGGUACAUGGGAUGCAUGAUGCAUGGACGAAUUGCUUCGUCGAUUCAGCAUGGUCCUGUUGGCUACAAGUGGAGUUUGGUGGGCCUUUAUCUGCACCAGACAAUGCCACAGCGGGUUCGCAUUGGGCGGCCCUUCGUCGGCUCCUCCCAGACUAUCGGUUGCUGACCACGGUGGAGGUUGGUGAUGGGCGUACUACGGCUUUCUGGUAUGACUGCUGGCUGCCCUCAGGGCCCCUCGUGGAGGCAAUGCCGUCGCUGUACACACACGCACGACAUAAAAAUGCCUCAGUCAGCGACGUUCUUUCAAAAGGUCUGCGCCUCGCCUUCGUCUCUCGGCUCUCAACGGUAGCUGCUGCUGAACUGGUGCAAUUGAUGGGGCUGCUUGAUGGUGUGGUGUUAACAAAUACCCCAGAUGUACGUGUGUGUCCCUGGGAAGAC